This 253-nucleotide ribosomal RNA is filed under the name uncultured bacterium. Its description in RNAcentral is "partial 16S ribosomal RNA". It matches the Rfam family "Bacterial small subunit ribosomal RNA", at positions 524 to 776 of the family's 1533-position model. The record is from RNAcentral.
UACGUAGGGUGCAAGCGUUGUCCGGAAUUAUUGGGCGUAAAGAGCUCGUAGGCGGUUUGUUGCGUCGGCUGUGAAAUCCCGAGGCUCAACCUCGGGCCUGCAGUCGAUACGAGCAAACUAGAGUGUUGCAGGGGAGACUGGAAUUCCUGGUGUAGCGGUGAAAUGCGCAGAUAUCAGGAGGAACACCGGUGGCGAAGGCGGGUCUCUGGGCCGAUACUGACGCUGAGGAGCGAAAGCGUGGGGAGCGAACAGG